AACGAACGCUGGCGGCAGGCUUAACACAUGCAAGUCGAACGCCCCGCAAGGGGAGUGGCAGACGGGUGAGUAACGCGUGGGAACAUACCCUUUUCUACGGAAUAGCUCUGGGAAACUGGAAUUAAUACCGUAUACGCCCUACGGGGGAAAGAUUUAUCGGGGAAGGAUUGGCCCGCGUUGGAUUAGCUAGUUGGUGGGGUAAAGGCCUACCAAGGCGACGAUCCAUAGCUGGUCUGAGAGGAUGAUCAGCCACAUUGGGACUGAGACACGGCCCAAACUCCUACGGGAGGCAGCAGUGGGGAAUAUUGGAGAAUGGGAGCAAGCCUGAUCCUGCCAUGCCGCGUGAGUGAUGAAGGCCUUAGGGUUGUAAAGCUCUUUCACCGAUGAAGAGAAUGACGGUAGUCGGAGAAGAAGCCCCGGCUAACUUCGUGCCAGCCGCCGCAGUAA
This 447-nucleotide ribosomal RNA is filed under the name uncultured bacterium. RNAcentral describes it as "partial 16S ribosomal RNA". It matches the Rfam family "Bacterial small subunit ribosomal RNA", at positions 29 to 523 of the family's 1533-position model. The record is from RNAcentral.